RNAcentral lists this transfer RNA (84 nucleotides) under Candidatus Woesearchaeota archaeon. RNAcentral's name for it is "tRNA-Leu". It matches the Rfam family "tRNA". Rfam says of the family: Transfer RNA (tRNA) molecules are approximately 80 nucleotides in length. Their secondary structure includes four short double-helical elements and three loops (D, anti-codon, and T loops). Lineage: Archaea; Nanobdellati; Candidatus Woesearchaeota. The record is from RNAcentral.
GUGGGAGUGCCGGAGUGGUCAAACGGGCUGGGCUUAGGACCCAGUAGCUUAGUGCUUACUAAGGUUCGAAUCCUUACUCCCACA